CCUACGGGAGGCAGCAGUGAGGAAUAUUGGUCAAUGGGCGCGAGUCUGAACCAGCCAAGUCGCGUGAAGGAUGACUGCCCUACGGGUUGUAAACUUCUUUUAUAAAGGCAUAAAGUGAGGCACGCGUGCCUUUUUGUAUGUACCUUAUGAAUAAGGAUCGGCUAACUCCGUGCCAGCAGCCGCGGUAAUACGGAGGAUCCGAGCGUUAUCCGGAUUUAUUGGGUUUAAAGGGAGCGUAGGUGGUUUGUUAAGUCAGUUGUGAAAGUUUGCGGCUCAACCGUAGAAGUGCACUUGAUACUGGGAGCCUUGAGUACAGUUGAGGUAGGCGGAAUUCGUGGUGUAGCGGUGAAAUGCUUAGAGAUCACGAAGAACUCCGAUUGCGAAGGCAGCUUACUAAGCUGCCACUGACGUUGAUGCUCGAAAGUGUGGGGAUCAAACAGGAUUAGAUACCCGAGUAGUC
Molecule: ribosomal RNA, 460 nt
Filed under: uncultured bacterium
Lineage: Bacteria
Description: partial 16S ribosomal RNA
Rfam family: Bacterial small subunit ribosomal RNA
Source: RNAcentral